CACCAAACAAGACAACACAGUAUCGGGUUCAUCAUAAUACAAACUAUAAUAAAAGAAACCAUGAUUCAUACAUACGAGACCAUAACGUAAUUACAUCAAACAUCAUGCUGCACUUAAUACUGAAAAUUAAAUCAAACAAUAACAGACCAACACUGUAUCAGACUCGGGCUCCAUUGGCAACCUUAAUUAAUUAUGCAUCUAUAAAGUCACACAGUACAGUUUAAUUAUUUAU
Molecule: long non-coding RNA, 232 nt
Filed under: Carica papaya (papaya)
Lineage: Eukaryota; Viridiplantae; Streptophyta; Magnoliopsida; Brassicales; Caricaceae
Description: long non-coding RNA (CPAP_LNC004402)
Source: RNAcentral